Molecule: long non-coding RNA, 3512 nt
Filed under: Homo sapiens (human)
Lineage: Eukaryota; Metazoa; Chordata; Mammalia; Primates; Hominidae
Description: HSALNT0196353
Source: RNAcentral
CUCCCAAAGUGCUGGGAUUACAGGCGUGAGUCACCGUGCCCGGCCAGUUUAUAGGUUUAGAAACUGAAACUCUGGCUGUGGAGCUAGGAAGCAGCUUGCCCAGGAGGCAAAUGCAGGCCUGAUUCCAAGGCCCGGGCGCGGAGCUGCCAAGCUUUAUGGGUCCAGAGUCACUGGCAAGUCCUAAUAAUAGUAAUAAUUUACUGUAUGCCUCGCCUGCAUCAUUCUAAGUACCUUUCCGAUGCUGUCUCACACACAGGCUUCAACCACUCUGCCUUCCAGGAAGAGCUGGUAGUGUUUAAGAGUCUAGUCCAGAACACUGUCUCAACAGCAUCAUUAGAUCAGGGCUCCUAAUCCCUAGAACCCUGUGUAACACUGCAACCCUGGCCAGGCAUAGUGGUUCAAGCCUGUAAUUCCAGCACUUUUGGAGGCCAAGGUGAGAGGAUUGCUUGAGCCCAGGAGUUCGAGACCAGCCUAGGCAACAUAGUAAGAACCUAUCUUUACAAAAAACAAAAAAUUAGCCAGGCAUGGUGGUGAGCACCUGUAGUCCCAGCUCCUGGGGAGGCUGAGGCGGGAAGAUUAAUUGAGCCCGGGAGUUUGAGGCUGCAGUGAGCUAUGAUCACACCACUACACUCCAGCCUGGGUGACAGAGUGAGACCCUGUCUCCAAAUAUAUAAAUGCUCCCCUGCCUCCCUGUGGGGAUAGAUAGGGUAAGAGAACCCACUCAGAAAGAAAGGUUAAGAUGGCCUGGGUGGCUGUGGUACCCCAGGAGACUAAAAAAAGUUACGGUGAGAAAUGCUUGGACUGCAACUCUUGGUAAAAUCUGAUGCUGGCAGGUGGGCAUUUUGGAAAAUAAGUCCUUGGGGUGAUUCUCCUAGAGAUGGGCCUAGCUUGACAACAGGUAACAGAGCUGUGACGUCAGCUGAGCUCUGGCGGUUCUCACACUGCAGGAUUCCAACUACAAACCUAGACCGGGGAGGAACAGGCUCAGAAGUAGGUUUUCGCCGGGUGCAGUGGCUCAUGCUUGUAAUCCUAGCACUUUGGGAGGCCGAGGUGGGUGGAUCACAAGGUCAGGAGUUCGAGACCAGCCUGGCCAAGAAGGUGAAACCCUGUCUCUACUAAAAAUACAAAAAUUAGCUAUUCAGGAGGCCAAGGCAGGGGAAUUGCUUGAACCUGGAUGGCAGAGGUUGCAGUGAGCUGAGUUCAUGCCACUGCACUCCAGCCUGGGCGACAGAAUGAGACUCCGUCUCAAAAAAAAAAAAAAAAAAAAAAAGGUUUUCAAGCCAAGUCUCAGAAGGCACAGGAGGUGGUUGCUGUAGCAAUCAUCUUUUAUUUUAUUUAUUUGAGACAGAGUCUCGCUCUGUCGCCCAGGCCGGAGUGCAGUGGCAGGAUCUCAGCUCCUGACCUCAUAAUCCGCCUGCCUCGCCCUCCCAAAGUGGUGGGAUUACAGGGAUUACCGUGCCUGGCCAGCAGUCAUCUUUUACAAUGAACAAAUAGGGCUGGGCGCGGUGGCUCACAUCUGUAAUCCUAGCACUUUGGGAGAUGGGCAGAUCACGAGGUCAGGAGACCAGCCUGGCCAACAUGGUGAAACCUCGUCUCUACUAAAAAUACAAAAAUUAGCUGGGUGUGGUGAUGCACGCCUGUAAUCCUAGCUACUCAGGAGGUUGAGGCAGGAGAAUCGCUUGAACCCGGGAGGUGGAGGUUUCAGUGAGCUGAGAUUGCACCACUGCACUCCAGCCUGGGCGACAGACAGACCAAGACUCCAUCUCAAAAAAAAAAUAAAUAAAUAAAUAAAAAUAAGUCAGGCACAGUGGCUCACGCAUGCCUGUAAUCACAGCCCUGUGGGAGGGUGAGGCAUGAGGAUCGCUUGAGGCCAGGGGUUUGAGACUAGCUUGGGCAACAUAGUGAGACCCUAUCUCUACAAAAAGUAAAAUGAACAAAUAAAUAUAGCAACUACAUAUCAGAACUUGGAGGCACUUAUUAGCUAUUAGUCCUGAGUACUUGUAAACACUGAAUAGAAGCUAGCCAAAUUUUUAAUUCUAAUAAUAGCUAAUACUGAUUACUGAAGGCUAUGUGCAAGGCACUGUUCCAAGUGUUGUUUUUUUUUUUUUUGUAUUAACUCAUUAAAUCCUCACAAUCACCCUGUACAAGUAUUAUUACUGUCUCCAUGUUACAGGGAGGGAAACUGACGCACAAGGAGACUACGUACCUGCCCAAGUUACACAGCAGUGGAUUGGAAGCAGAGGUUCUGUUCCAGCAGCCACAUGUCCCCUCCAAGGUGAAGCUAUAAUACUGAUGCCUGAAUCUUUGGGGGAGGAGGCAAGUCAAGUGGGCAGAGAUUAUCCCUAUUUGAGACAAGUUUCAGAGAGGGGAAGUGACUUGACCAAUGUCACACGGCUGACAAACACUUAAAACUGAUGCUGGAACUGGAUCUUUUGCAUCUAAGCCAAGGGCUCUACUCACUGUUCCAAUCUACCACCAGUGCCCAAGCAUGGAGGGGACAGGGAUCUGGGCUGGUAAUAGGGACUUCCAGCCCAAGACAGGUGCAGUGAUGAUUCAGAGCCUCCUGAGAAUCAUCAAGUCUAGUAAAUUAUAAGUCGCAAUGACAAUUACAUCAGCUAAAGUUUAUGAUGCUUACUAUGUGCCAUUGUUCUAAGGCUCAAAAUGCAUUAACUUUUAAGCUGGGCGUGGUGGCUCAUGCCUAUAAUCCCAGCAUUUUGGGAGGCCGAGGCGGGUGGAUCAUUAAGGUCAGGAGUUUGAGACCAGCCUGGCCAACACGGUGAAACCCUGUCUCUACUGUGGCCGGGUGCAGUGGCUCACGCCUGUAAUCCUAGCAGUUUGGGAGGCCAAGGCGGGCAGAUCACUUGAGGUCAGGAGUUCGAAACCAGCCUGGUCAACAUGGUGAAAGACCGUCUCUACUAAAAAUACAAAAAAAUUAGCUGGGUGUGGUGGCUGGCGCCUGUAAUCCCAGCUACUUGGGAGGCUGAGGCAGAAUUGCUUGAACCUGGGAGGUAGAGGUUGCAGUGAGCCCAGAUCAUGCCACUGCACUCCCACCUGGGCAACAGAGUGAAAUUCCAUCUCAAAAAAAAAAAAAAAAAAAAAAAAAAAAAAGGCCAGGUGUGGUGGUGCAUGCCUGUAAUCCCAGCUAUUCAGGUAGCCAAGGUACGAGAAUUGCUUGAACCAAGGAGGUGGAGGUUGGAGGUUGCAGUGAGCUGAGACUGCCCCACUGAACUCCAGCCUAGGUAACAGAGACUGUCUCAAAAAAAAAAAAAAAAGCAUUAACUUUUAAUCUUCACAUACCCUAUGGUCCCCAGUAUACAGAUGAGGAAACGAAAGAGCUCAGAGUUCUGGGAAACACGCUCAAAAUCACGUCAGUAAGCUUUUCUGGUUCCCCAGGAGGAUGCUUACCAAAGCUUAGACAUGCUGGUGUGACACAGUCAAAUUGUAAAAACAGAAAGACACACACGUGGCCUUGCCUGGCAAUAAAUAUUUUAAUUUGUUUCAUUUUUAUGAUG